Microcebus murinus (gray mouse lemur) is the source of this 1252-nucleotide non-coding RNA. Lineage: Eukaryota; Metazoa; Chordata; Mammalia; Primates; Cheirogaleidae. The record is from RefSeq and is a predicted model, not a curated record.
UCACUCUAGCCUGGGCAACAGAGUGAGACUCUGCCUCAAAAAUAAAGAAAUAAAAGAAUGAAAAUAGAGAGCAGAGCCUGCACAGUCAGACACCCUUGGGGACAGGCCAGGCUCGGCCCGCGUGGAGCUGGGCAAGCUGGCCAAUUGCUCUGAGCUGCAGUCUCCCCUUCCGUGGAAUGGGCAUCUCAGGGUGGAGCGUGAAGGAUGGACGAGCUCGUGCUUGCACACUGCUGAGCGCCUGCCCAGCCCACCGAGGCUCAGCCGGCUUGGGUUUUCUCGGGCUCGCACAGCGACCGGCCUGAGCGUGCCCUGGCCCGGCUAAGGUCCCGGCUCUGCAGCCCCAGUGCAUCAUUAUCCCACCUUCCACGGUGACCCGCAGAGGCACACCUGAACGAGAGGCCCACCUCUGAGGCCCGAGGACACCUGGGAUAAGCCCCAGCAGGCUGGGUGCCCACCGUCCCCCUCCAAACCCCGCAGCAGAACACGAACGGCCUCCCCGGCACGACUAGGAUGCAUUGCACUGUUCCUGUUUAAACACCGAUGAGAAGUGGGGGCCUUCCAAGCUUGCUGAGAUCCUGUGAUACAUACUCUCGAGUGCUUUGGCCACGUUGUUUUGCAGCGACCUGUGUUCCUUCCGAGGUCUACGUCGCACCGGGCUUUUCACAUUUUUGUGCUUUUUCGCCGGUGAUUUUGCUGUUUAAAAUGGUCCCCAACCGCAGCUCUGAUCCGGUGUCUUGAGUCCCUGUGCGUGAGAAGACUGCGAGGUGCCUUGCUGAGCAGGUACCUGUGUCAGAAAAGAAAAUUAUGAGCCCGGACUGUUUCAGCUUUUCAUAUGGACAUGUAGAAAUCCUUAGUUUCAUCCAAGAGGAAACUUUCUAAGUAACAAGUUGAUGGAUUUUGCGUGCUGCCAGCAAUUACCUUUUGAGCCUGAGCUUUUCUGAACAGAAUCCAAAUCCAUAAAGACAUUGAUAUAAUAAGAACUAUCUUCUUUGCUGGCGUGCCUGCCAUAUUUUCAAUGUCUUUUAAGGAGCACUGUGGCUGUGACUUCUUGAAACCGACUUUAAAAGGCUCUGAUUGGAAACACACACACACACAAAACAAAGGAACAACAGUAACAACAAGGGAACCCCUUAAUCAAAGGCUGGGGCAUUUCCAGAAAUACCCUUCCACUACCUGGGGCAAGGCAAGGAGGCGCACCUUUGGUUUCUUUCCUUCCUUUUUCCUUCCUUUUUCCUUCCUUUUUCCUUCCUUU